RNAcentral lists this ribosomal RNA (1374 nucleotides) under uncultured bacterium. RNAcentral's name for it is "bacterial SSU rRNA". It matches the Rfam family "Bacterial small subunit ribosomal RNA", at positions 28 to 1381 of the family's 1533-position model. The record is from RNAcentral.
GAUGAACGCUGGCGGCGUGCCUAAUACAUGCAAGUCGAGCGAACGGACGAGAAGCUUGCUUCUCUGAUGUUAGCGGCGGACGGGUGAGUAACACGUGGAUAACCUACCUAUAAGACUGGGAUAACUUCGGGAAACCGGUGCUAAUACCGGAUGAUAUUUUGAACCGCAUGGUUCAAAAGUGAAAGACGGUCUUGCUGUCACUUAUAGAUGGAUCCGCGCUGCAUUAGCUAGUUGGUAAGGUAACGGCUUACCAAGGCAACGAUGCAUAGCCGACCUGAGAGGGUGAUCGGCCACACUGGAACUGAGACACGGUCCAGACUCCUACGGGAGGCAGCAGUAGGGAAUCUUCCGCAAUGGGCGAAAGCCUGACGGAGCAACGCCGCGUGAGUGAUGAAGGUCUUCGGAUCGUAAAACUCUGUUAUUAGGGAAGAACAUAUGUGUAAGUAACUGUGCACAUCUUGACGGUACCUAAUCAGAAAGCCACGGCUAACUACGUGCCAGCAGCCGCGGUAAUACGUAGGUGGCAAGCGUUAUCCGGAAUUAUUGGGCGUAAAGCGCGCGUAGGCGGUUUUUUAAGUCUGAUGCGAAAGCCCACGGCUCAACCGUGGAGGGUCAUUGGAAACUGGAAAACUUGAGUGCAGAAGAGGAAAGUGGAAUUCCAUGUGUAGCGGUGAAAUGCGCAGAGAUAUGGAGGAACACCAGUGGCGAAGGCGACUUUCUGGUCUGUAACUGACGCUGAUGUGCGAAAGCGUGGGGAUCAAACAGGAUUAGAUACCCUGGUAGUCCACGCCGUAAACGAUGAGUGCUAAGUGUUAGGGGGUUUCCGCCCCUUAGUGCUGCAGCUAACGCAUUAAGCACUCCGCCUGGGGAGUACGACCGCAAGGUUGAAACUCAAAGGAAUUGACGGGGACCCGCACAAGCGGUGGAGCAUGUGGUUUAAUUCGAAGCAACGCGAAGAACCUUACCAAAUCUUGACAUCCUUUGACAACUCUAGAGAUAGAGCCUUCCCCUUCGGGGGGGACAAAGUGACAGGUGGUGCAUGGUUGUCGUCAGCUCGUGUCGUGAGAUGUUGGGUUAAGUCCCGCAACGAGCGCAACCCUUAAGCUUAGUUGCCAUCAUUAAGUUGGGCACUCUAAGUUGACUGCCGGUGACAAACCGGAGGAAGGUGGGGAUGACGUCAAAUCAUCAUGCCCCUUAUGAUUUGGGCUACACACGUGCUACAAUGGACAAUACAAAGGGCAGCGAAACCGCGAGGUCAAGCAAAUCCCAUAAAGUUGUUCUCAGUUCGGAUUGUAGUCUGCAACUCGACUACAUGAAGCUGGAAUCGCUAGUAAUCGUAGAUCAGCAUGCUACGGUGAAUACGUUCCCGGGUCU